Molecule: transfer RNA, 73 nt
Filed under: Canis lupus familiaris (dog)
Lineage: Eukaryota; Metazoa; Chordata; Mammalia; Carnivora; Canidae
Also listed under: 2 other names
Rfam family: tRNA
About the family: Transfer RNA (tRNA) molecules are approximately 80 nucleotides in length. Their secondary structure includes four short double-helical elements and three loops (D, anti-codon, and T loops). Further hydrogen bonds mediate the characteristic L-shaped molecular structure. tRNAs have two regions of fundamental functional importance: the anti-codon, which is responsible for specific mRNA codon recognition, and the 3' end, to which the tRNAs corresponding amino acid is attached (by aminoacyl-tRNA synthetases). tRNAs cope with the degeneracy of the genetic code in two manners: having more than one tRNA (with a specific anti-codon) for a particular amino acid; and 'wobble' base-pairing, i.e. permitting non-standard base-pairing at the 3rd anti-codon position.
Source: Rfam by way of RNAcentral
GCCUGGCUGGCUCAGUCAGUAGAGCAUGUAACUCUUGAUCUCAGGGUUGUAAGUUUGAGCCUCAUGCUGGGUG